UUGAAUGACGCGGGUGCGCCGUAAAAGUUCUUAUGUUGGCAGAUAGAGUGCGCGCAUGCGCAGAAGCGUCUGUGUGACUGCCGUUAUGUCGUACAGUUAGAUCACGCGGCACAGUAUUGCAGUUCAUAUUGUUCGUGUGCGCGCGUUUCUCAGUCGUUGCACAAAGAAAAUUUUCAACCAAGAUUACAUAUGAAGACUACAUUCUAUGACAGGUGCGUUGACCUAUACACAUCGUGUCGUUAUUACAGUUCAUAUUCAUCUGCUGCACAAUAAUUUUUUACAGAUCAGACGUGACCCGUCGAGUAAUUGGUCCACGUGCAGUUCGUUUUUUACAUUCCGUGGAAGCUUGGUUGCAGAACCUCGGACGGCACAUAGCUGGCGUCGAUCCUUGGACAGUCCAGGUAAGCGUGUCCGUCACAUUUCGAGAACAUUUCAUUCCCUGAAGUUCCAACCAAAAUUCUUCCACCCGUCGUGUUGUUUUCUGG
Schistocerca serialis cubense is the source of this 485-nucleotide long non-coding RNA. RefSeq lists it as uncharacterized. Lineage: Eukaryota; Metazoa; Arthropoda; Insecta; Orthoptera; Acrididae. The transcript is spliced from 3 exons. The record is from RefSeq and is a predicted model, not a curated record.